Armillaria mellea is the source of this 94-nucleotide non-coding RNA. The record is from the annotation of a GenBank genome assembly. NCBI's taxonomy places the organism in Eukaryota, Fungi, Basidiomycota, Agaricomycetes, Agaricales, Physalacriaceae.
UCGGAUAUGGUGUAACGGCUAACAUUGCCGCCUCUCAUGCUUCCAUCACAUGUAGAUCUCGCGGCAGCUCGGGGUUCGAUUCCCCGUAUCCGAA